UUUCUGAGUGAAUUUUAAGUCAUUUCUUCAUUCUUCCCAUAUGAUUCCUUAUGAAAUACAGACUGACCUCCUGUCAGCCCUUGGUGCUAUGUGUUUGCCCCAUUAGCUGCAAAGGGACUGUACCAUUUGGAGCUGGGAUUUGUACGCAGAUCCAAUACCAAAUCUUAUAUCCAGUGCCACUCCUAGGGACCUCCAAAGGAAAGGCCUUACACAAGCUGAAAGUUUUGACCCUUGCCACCAUCUCUCUGCCCUUGUGAGCUCACAGGCAACAUGGUGAAGUAAUGAGUAGCAAGGUGACGUUUAAAAGACAACUCAACCGACUGCAGUCCUGGGGUGCCUCAUGUGGCAAAGAUGGUCCCGGAUAAUUGCAGCUCUGUACCGCCGCGGAGCUAAGCUCUCAGAGGAAAGCCCAUCCUCUGAAAGCCUCUAACUGGCCUGCUUGGACAACGCGUCCCGGAGGAGGAGACCCCAAUUUGCCAGGCAUGGUCAUGUGCACAUGCCGGGUGGGGCCUUAAACCCGCGCUUCAGACCGACUGGAUCGGAGGGAGUAGCGGGAGCUCAGUGAAACGUCAAGAGAAAGGAUCUCUGACCAGAAGACCAGGGGGUGAGGAAGGCGCCGGGAGGGAUCAAAGAGUGAAUGAAGUGAGAUUGAUCCAGCCCUUAAGCCUAAAGUCUUAAGAGGCUUUCACAUGUCAGUAGAUGCUAUCCUGGUAAAUAAAAGAAAUUCAUUGACAAGCCUUCCUGGUAAU
Molecule: long non-coding RNA, 749 nt
Organism: Manis pentadactyla (Chinese pangolin)
Lineage: Eukaryota; Metazoa; Chordata; Mammalia; Pholidota; Manidae
Exons: 3
Source: RefSeq, a predicted model, not a curated record